Bufo gargarizans (Asiatic toad) is the source of this 156-nucleotide long non-coding RNA. RefSeq lists it as uncharacterized. NCBI's taxonomy places the organism in Eukaryota, Metazoa, Chordata, Amphibia, Anura, Bufonidae. The record is from RefSeq and is a predicted model, not a curated record. The transcript is spliced from 2 exons.
CAAGGAUUCAAAAAGGACAUAUGAACGACCAUCUGAAACCCUGCAGAGAAACGAAAUGAAACAAGAAUUUGGACAGAAGUUUACUCGUCUGUUGUAUUAAAUUGAGCUGAAAUUCUAGUAUUUUGGUUCAAUAAAUAAAAUCAUUUUAUGACAGCC